RNAcentral lists this small RNA (590 nucleotides) under Histoplasma capsulatum var. duboisii H88. Its description in RNAcentral is "Histoplasma capsulatum H88 hypothetical RNA". The record is from RNAcentral. Lineage: Eukaryota; Fungi; Ascomycota; Eurotiomycetes; Onygenales; Ajellomycetaceae.
UCGGUAUAUAGUGUUGAAAGGAAAAGAGAGAAUAGCUCAAGGAAGCUUUUCUGGAAAAAAGAUCAAGCGGUCCAAGACAAAAAUGCCAAAGACAUGCACAGGCCAAGCAUAUCAACUCUUGUUUGAGGAAGAAAAAACUUUGAACCUCUUCAGCCAUUUUCUCGCUAGCAUGAUACUCUCUCUCAAUCCCGUCAGACCGCAAGAAAAUAACUUACUAGAAGGAUUUCUAUGUUCCAUUCUGGAGCAUGUGGGUAGGGCGCUCUCCCUCUUCGUGUUUAAAGAAUUAUAUUCUAAUCCGGACCUACGUCUCAAUCCCGCCAAACUUCCUAUGCCCGGCAAUUUCGAUAAAGAGCAUCCCACCAGGGAGGAGAUUGCCGUUGCCCAACGUGCGGCGGAAUGCGAAGCUAAGCAUUUAAUCUGGAUUCUCGAACGGGCGAUGGCAUUCGCAGACCAAUUCGAACGUGCGAGUGACGAGACGAAAAACGAUAUGAUUUCAACCGAAACAACUCCCUCUGGAGGCCCAUUCCAGGGAAUACUGCAUCGCGCAAGGACCAAGUUGCAAAAUACUCUUUUGAAAGGUAUUUUCGGGG